Molecule: ribosomal RNA, 465 nt
Filed under: uncultured bacterium
Lineage: Bacteria
Description: partial 16S ribosomal RNA
Rfam family: Bacterial small subunit ribosomal RNA
Source: RNAcentral
GACGAACGCUGGCGGCGUGCUUAACACAUGCAAGUCGUACGGUAAGGCCCUUUCGGGGGUACACGAGUGGCGAACGGGUGCGUAACACGUGCGUAACCUGCCCACAACUUUGGGAUAACGCUAGGAAACUGGUGCUAAUACUGGAUAUGUGCUCCUGCUUCAUGGUGGGGGUUGGAAAGCUCCGGCGGUUGUGGAUGGACUCGCGGCCUAUCCGCUUGUUGGUGGGGUAGUGGCCUACCCAGGCGGCGACGGGUAGCCGGCCUGUGAGGGUGACCGGCCACAUUGGGACUGAGAUACGGCCCAGACUCCUACGGGAGGCAGCAGUGGGGAAUAUUGCACAAGGGGCGCAAGCCUGAUGCAGCAACGCCGCGUGCGGGAUGACGGCCUUCGGGUUGUAAACCGCUUUCAGCAGGGACGAAGCUUUUUGUGACGGUACCUGCAGAAGAAGCACCGGCUAACUACGUG